AAGGAAUAUCUAAUAAUAAUACAUUCUCAUAUCAAAGAGUACCUAGAACUGUAGAUAACACAUCUUCACUUGACAUAAUCUCUUAUACACAAGAUGUAGUUAUUGUCCAGUUCUAUAUACCAAUAACACUGAAAUGCACUGGUGAAGCUCCUGAGUAUGUUACAAUUAUUGCACUAUGUAAUGGAAGUGAUAGCAGUACAACAUUCCAAA
This is a long non-coding RNA of Amphimedon queenslandica, 210 nucleotides long. RefSeq lists it as uncharacterized. NCBI's taxonomy places the organism in Eukaryota, Metazoa, Porifera, Demospongiae, Haplosclerida, Niphatidae. The record is from RefSeq and is a predicted model, not a curated record. The transcript is spliced from 3 exons.